AGAUUGAACGCUGGCGGCAGGCCUAACACAUGCAAGUCGAGCGGCAGCACGGGUACUUGUACCUGGUGGCGAGCGGCGGACGGGUGAGUAAUGCCUAGGAAUCUGCCUGGUAGUGGGGGAUAACGCUCGGAAACGGACGCUAAUACCGCAUACGUCCUACGGGAGAAAGCAGGGGACCUUCGGGCCUUGCGCUAUCAGAUGAGCCUAGGUCGGAUUAGCUAGUUGGUGAGGUAAUGGCUCACCAAGGCGACGAUCCGUAACUGGUCUGAGAGGAUGAUCAGUCACACUGGAACUGAGACACGGUCCAG
This 308-nucleotide ribosomal RNA is filed under the name uncultured soil bacterium. RNAcentral describes it as "bacterial SSU rRNA". It matches the Rfam family "Bacterial small subunit ribosomal RNA", at positions 26 to 334 of the family's 1533-position model. The record is from RNAcentral.